RNAcentral lists this ribosomal RNA (193 nucleotides) under uncultured bacterium. RNAcentral's name for it is "partial 16S ribosomal RNA". It matches the Rfam family "Bacterial small subunit ribosomal RNA", at positions 1309 to 1500 of the family's 1533-position model. The record is from RNAcentral.
AACCCGACUACAUGAAGCCGGAAUCGCUAGUAAUCGCGGAUCAGAAUGCCGCGGUGAAUACGUUCCCGGGUCUUGUACACACCGCCCGUCACACCAUGGGAGUUGGAAAUGCCCGAAGUCAGUGGCCCAACCGGGAAGGGGGGAGCUGCCGAAGGCAGGUUCGAUGACUGGGGUGAAGUCGUAACAAGGUAUC